This 665-nucleotide ribosomal RNA is filed under the name Thaxterogaster vibratilis. Its description in RNAcentral is "Cortinarius vibratilis partial ribosomal RNA". The stretch from base 266 to 419 matches the Rfam family "5.8S ribosomal RNA". Lineage: Eukaryota; Fungi; Basidiomycota; Agaricomycetes; Agaricales; Cortinariaceae. The record is from RNAcentral.
UUUCCGUAGGUGAACCUGCGGAAGGAUCAUUAUUGAAUAAACCUGAUAAGUUGUUGCUGGUUCUCUAGGGAGCAUUGUGCACGCUUGUCAUCUUUAUAUUUCCACCUGUGCACCUUUUGUAGACCUGGAUAAUCUCUCCAAGUUACUUGGGAUUUGGGGAUAGUCUUUUCUUUCCCUUACAUUUCCAGGCCUAUGUUUCUUCAUAUACCCCUAAUGUAUGUCAUAGAAUGUGAUAAUGGGCCUUUGUUGCCUAUAAACCUUAUACAACUUUCAGCAACGGAUCUCUUGGCUCUCGCAUCGAUGAAGAACGCAGCGAAAUGCGAUAAGUAAUGUGAAUUGCAGAAUUCAGUGAAUCAUCGAAUCUUUGAACGCACCUUGCGCUCCUUGGUAUUCCGAGGAGCAUGCCUGUUUGAGUGUCAUUAAUAUAAUCAAACCUCUAGUUUUUUCUGGAGUGUUUGGAUGUGGGGGUUUUUGUUGGCCUUUAUUUUCUGAAGGUCAACUCCUCUGAAAUGUAUUAGCGGAACAGUUAACUGGGUUCAUUGGUGUGAUAAUUAUCUACGCUAUUGACAAUGGAUAACAAGUUCAGCUUCUAACAGUCCAUUGACUUGGACAAAUUUUUUCAUUAAUGUGACCUCAAAUCAGGUAGGACUACCCGCUGAACUUAA